GAUGAAGAACGCAGUGAAAUGCGAUACUUGGUGUGAAUUGCAGAAUCCCGUGAACCAUCGAGUCUUUGAACGCAAGUUGCGCCCGAAGCCAUUAGGCCGAGGGCACGCCUGCCUGGGCGUCACACGUCGUUGCCCCCCCAUCUACUCCUUCGGGAUUGCGGGGGGCGGAUGAUGGCCUCCCGUGCGCCUCGUCGCACGGUUGGCAUAAAUGCCAAGUCCUCGGCGACGCACGCCACGACAAUCGGUGGUUGCGAAACCUCGGUUGCCCGUCGUGUGCGGUCGUCGCGCAUCGAGGGCUCGAAAAAAUUGCCGGGCUCCGGCUCGGCUUUCAACGCGACCCCAGGUCAGGCGGGGUUACCCGCUGAAUUUAAGCAUAUCAAUAAGCGGAGGA
Molecule: unclassified non-coding RNA, 391 nt
Filed under: soil metagenome
Description: partial contains 5.8S ribosomal RNA, internal transcribed spacer 2, and large subunit ribosomal RNA
Rfam family: 5.8S ribosomal RNA (bases 1-122)
Source: RNAcentral